AAUUGCAGAAUUUUAGAUUUAUAACAUAAAAAGAAAGGCGUUGACUUAUGAAAAUGCAAGUUUGACUUGAAAGGGCAUUUUGCAAAUUAAGAAUUAAGAAAAUUCUCCCUGUUAAGUAAAUAAGAGACGGCAUUCUUGUACAUAUGUGAUAAUAUAAAAAUAAUGCAACUAUAUUAUUAAAUUCAUAUGUAAUAUCAUUAGACAAACCACUACUAGAUACUAAUAAAACAAGCUCUUCUCAUCAAUGUAUGUAUGUCAUAAUACGAGGAGGAAUUUUGCCCUUACUGUUUUGAAAGCUCCAUAUGACUUAGACAUUCAGUGUCAGAACAAUACAGGAUUUUCCCACAGGCUUUACACAAUGGCCUAGCUAGGAAAACUUUUAUUUAUAUUUUAAAGGUAUAUAGAAAGUUCUUGGGCUAUUUUGAAUACAGCACUUAGAUAACACUAGAAAACAUCAUCGAAAGAAAAUAAAUUAAAAUUGUACUAUGUGGUGUUAUGAGUUGGUCGAAUUGCAGCCUCCAAAA
Molecule: long non-coding RNA, 524 nt
Filed under: Homo sapiens (human)
Lineage: Eukaryota; Metazoa; Chordata; Mammalia; Primates; Hominidae
Description: HSALNT0378979
Source: RNAcentral